UCAGGUCGAAGCCAAAUGCUUUUGCCAGAAGUCGAGAGGCCACAACCAACGUGUGCACCUGUUGGUUGAACUCUGCCUCCAGACUAAACAACAAACAUGGCCGACUGGUGACUUGGAGAGAAGCGGAGCAGAGAGAUCACAGUCACUUCGGUCCUGUCAGCAGCUGAUUUGGCUUCUUUAAUGGAGUAAACUGGGCUCUCAGGAUAAAUCAGCUUCUGUGCUUCCAUCUCCAGCUGCUCUGGGACAUCGACAGAACGUGUCUGUGAU
Non-coding RNA from Epinephelus lanceolatus (giant grouper), 267 nucleotides. NCBI's taxonomy places the organism in Eukaryota, Metazoa, Chordata, Actinopteri, Perciformes, Serranidae. The record is from RefSeq and is a predicted model, not a curated record.